CAUUACAGAAUUGAUGCACUUUGGCAAGGUUGUGCUGCCUCUGCAAAGGGGAUGUGAACACUGAGCCAUUGUGUCUAUUCAUCCACACACACCCUUGCUUCAUUGCAAGUUCACAUAUAUGCCUUUAAAACAUAAAAAGAAUGCAAAUGAAUUGUCAUUUUUGAACAACUAUCAGCAACGGAUCUCUUGGCAUUCCACUCGAUGAAGAACGCAGCGAAUUGCGAUAAGUAAUGUGAAUUGCAGAAUUCAGUGAAUCAUCGAAUCUUUGAACGCAUCUUGCACUCUUUAGUAUUCUGAAGAGUAUGCCCGGUUGAGUAUCAUGAUCUCCUCAAUCCCCCUUCCUUUUAUUAGGCUGGGAUGAUUGGACAGUAAGCAUGUGUGGUAGGCCCCUAGGGUGACCACUUGCUUGAAAUGCAUUAGCUGGAGGCCAUCUGGAACGCCAGACACUUGUGAUAAGGUCAUCAAGUCUGUCUGUGUGAGCCACCUCUGCUCCUAAACACCCCCAUUGUGUUAUAUCUCAGAUCUCAACUCGGGUAGGAUUACCCGCUGAACUUAAGCAUAUCA
Molecule: ribosomal RNA, 564 nt
Filed under: Tulasnella eremophila
Lineage: Eukaryota; Fungi; Basidiomycota; Agaricomycetes; Cantharellales; Tulasnellaceae
Description: eukaryotic LSU rRNA
Rfam family: 5.8S ribosomal RNA (bases 167-320)
Source: RNAcentral